RNAcentral lists this ribosomal RNA (409 nucleotides) under uncultured Arthrobacter sp. RNAcentral's name for it is "bacterial SSU rRNA". It matches the Rfam family "Bacterial small subunit ribosomal RNA", at positions 353 to 772 of the family's 1533-position model. Lineage: Bacteria; Bacillati; Actinomycetota; Actinomycetes; Micrococcales; Micrococcaceae. The record is from RNAcentral.
AGUGGGGAAUAUUGCACAAUGGGCGCAAGCCUGAUGCAGCGACGCCGCGUGAGGGAUGACGGCCUUCGGGUUGUAAACCUCUUUCAGUAGGGAAGAAGCCGUAAGGUGACGGUACCUGCAGAAGAAGCGCCGGCUAACUACGUGCCAGCAGCCGCGGUAAUACGUAGGGCGCAAGCGUUAUCCGGAAUUAUUGGGCGUAAAGAGCUCGUAGGCGGUUUGUCGCGUCUGCCGUGAAAGUCCGGGGCUCAACUCCGGAUCUGCGGUGGGUACGGGCAGACUAGAGUGAUGUAGGGGAGACUGGAAUUCCUGGUGUAGCGGUGAAAUGCGCAGAUAUCAGGAGGAACACCGAUGGCGAAGGCAGGUCUCUGGGCAUUAACUGACGCUGAGGAGCGAAAGCAUGGGGAGCGAA